RNAcentral lists this ribosomal RNA (480 nucleotides) under uncultured bacterium. RNAcentral's name for it is "bacterial SSU rRNA". It matches the Rfam family "Bacterial small subunit ribosomal RNA", at positions 15 to 507 of the family's 1533-position model. The record is from RNAcentral.
GAUCAUGGCUCAGGAUGAACGCUAGCGGCAGGCCUAAUACAUGCAAGGCGAAGGGGCAGCAAUGUCACUGUCGUACGGGUGCGUAACGCGUAUGCAACCUACCUAUCACAGGGGAAUAGCCUUUGGAAACAGGGAUUAAUACCCCAUGGCACAUAUUGAUGGCAUCUGAGAUAUGUUAAAGAUUUAUUGGUAUAAGAUGGGCAUGCGUCUGAUUAGCUAGUUGGCGGUGUAACGGACCACCAAGGCGACGAUCAGUAGGGGUUCUGAGAGGAAGGUCCCCCACACUGGCACUGAGAUACGGGCCAGACUCCUACGGGAGGCAGCAGUAGGGAAUAUUGGGCAAUGGUCGGAAGACUGACCCAGCCAUGCCGCGUGCAGGAAGACGGCCCUCUGGGUUGUAAACUGCUUUUAUCUGGGAAGAAAAAGGCCAUGCGUGGCAAAUUGCCGGUACCAGAUGAAUAAGCACCGGCUAACUCCGUG